CCCUCAUGUUAUACUUGUGUCUGCUGUGCCAGCUGUUGAGAUGGAGGGAGAGCCGAGGCAGGCAGUGCCUGCAGCCCUUCCAGGCCUCAGCUGGGGAAUGAGCUUACUGCUGGGAUUGCUGGCAAUGACAGCCAUACACCCGCUGUUUCCUCACAUGCAACUCCCCUUGUGUGCGGCCAAACUGACACGUUUCCCUAGAGCUGCCCAGGAAGUGUGUCAACCCAGAGGAGUAUAAAAGCCCACUAUCCCUGAGGGCUGCCAGCCCUUUAUGAAGAUGAAGGUCCUAAGAAGGCUCAUUUUCUUGGCUCUUUUAAUCACCUCAUGUCUGGUAGAACUGAAUGUGUCUGAGGCUGAAGGCAGAUCAAGCUGCAAUGCCAGCCUGGGAGGGGCCAAUCUGGCAGAUACACACAAGGCCCUGGUCCUGCAACUCAAUGCCAAUGAGAACUGCACGUGGACAAUAGAAAAACCAGAAAACAAGAGCAUCAGACUCCUCUUCUCCCACAUCCAGUAAGUACAAUCAUCAGCUUCUCAAGAAGAGAAUUCUGGCCACAGAAUUCAGCUGCUGCAAGAGGUGAUAGAGAUGGUGGCAAUUCCCAUGAUAAUGAUAUUGAUGGUGGUGAUGAUAAUGUUUGACAGUCCUUGAUGAGGAUGACGAUGUUGGUGGUGAGUGGUAGUCACUGCUGACAACUGCAUGCCUCCACUGGCUCACAGAGCUCCCGUGAGGUCAUUAAGACACGGGAAGGUUGAAAAUGCUGAGGUCACCACGGUGAGUGAAAUGAUUAGGGUUAGUAAUCAGCUAGUCUAGUUCCGAUUCUACGUCUGGAAACAGUAAACUUGUGAUUCUUAAUUACCUAACAGUCUCUGGAGAUAGGACCCAGGCAUCAGUAUUUUUACUUAAACAUUUUAUAAGUGACUUUUUCUCUUCUGGUACUGGAGAUUGAACUCAGGACCUUGCAUUUC
This 960-nucleotide long non-coding RNA is filed under the name Fukomys damarensis (Damara mole-rat). Its description in RNAcentral is "lncRNA (ENSFDAG00000021788.1)". Lineage: Eukaryota; Metazoa; Chordata; Mammalia; Rodentia; Bathyergidae. The record is from RNAcentral.